UAUUCGAGUUUGAUCCUGGCUCAGGACGAACGCUGGCGGCGUGCUUAACACAUGCAAGUCGAACGAUGAAGCCCUUCGGGGUGGAUUAGUGGCGAACGGGUGAGUAACACGUGGGCAAUCUGCCCUUCACUCUGGGACAAGCCCUGGAAACGGGGUCUAAUACCGGAUAUGAGCCGGAACCGCAUGGUUCUGGUUGUAAAGCUCCGGCGGUGAAGGAUGAGCCCGCGGCCUAUCAGCUUGUUGGUGAGGUAAUGGCUCACCAAGGCGACGACGGGUAGCCGGCCUGAGAGGGCGACCGGCCACACUGGGACUGAGACACGGCCCAGACUCCUACGGGAGGCAGCAGUGGGGAAUAUUGCACAAUGGGCGAAAGCCUGAUGCACCGACGCCGCAUGAGGGAUGACGGCCUUCGGGUUGUAACCCUCUUUGA
This 430-nucleotide ribosomal RNA is filed under the name uncultured Actinomycetes bacterium. RNAcentral's name for it is "bacterial SSU rRNA". It matches the Rfam family "Bacterial small subunit ribosomal RNA", at positions 1 to 438 of the family's 1533-position model. The record is from RNAcentral. Lineage: Bacteria; Bacillati; Actinomycetota; Actinomycetes.